CCAGGGCUGCAGUAUUCAGAGGUGGGGCUUUGGGAAGUGUUAGGAUCAAGAGGGUUCAGAGCUCAUCAAUGAAGCCAUCCACUGAGAGUGGAUUUUUUAGUUUGAUGGGUUUGGGACAAGAUGGAAACUUAUGAGGUGGGGUCUAGCUGAAAAGAGGUCCUUGGCGGUGUGCCCUUUGGGGGACAGUAUCUCAUUCUUGACCUUGUUACUUUCUGACCACCGUGAGGUCAAACGGACCCACUUGAGGUUAACUUCUUUGGAGUUCCUUCCUAUGUGGAUUUCAGAGAGCCUGGAAGGCUGAGCCUCAUUAUGAUGCAACAACCAACCAUGGAUUCCGGUUGUGGCCAUUAGGGGGCAGCAUUUUGGGUUCUGUUCAUUUCCAGAGGCCGUCCUCAUCGGGCUACAGUGAUGUCACCUGAGGGACAGAAUGCACACCUGUCUGAGCUAUGCAGUUCGUGAACCCAAAGCCAGGCCUUUGUUUCAACUGAGCCCAAGAAUAAGAGGCUGAGUCCGUGGAUGGCCUCACUGGGAAGGCUGGUCACCUGAUAUGGCAAGGUGGGGUGAACACCAGAGGACUGUAUCUGUUGUACUUCAUCGCCAUCCCAUGCAACUUUCAUUACCUGGCCGAGUGUCAGAGACAAGAAGAAAUGACAGCACCCCCUGAGAGUCCAAAAGGUCUUGAGUUUACCUUGAUCCUUGCAUCAGGAUCAGAGCCCAGUGUCAUCUCUUACGUAGGAAGCUAGCCCUGUGGGUGUGGACCCAGGACACUCCCAGGCUCUCUAAUUCACCUCUGUCUACAUUUGAAAAAAUAUUUUAGAAAGGAACUUCUUCA
Molecule: non-coding RNA, 832 nt
Organism: Rattus norvegicus (Norway rat)
Lineage: Eukaryota; Metazoa; Chordata; Mammalia; Rodentia; Muridae
Source: RefSeq, a predicted model, not a curated record